GGUCCGGUAGCUCAGCUGGAUAGAGCAUCAGAUUUCUAAUCUGACGGUCAUAGGUUCGAAUCCUAUCCGGAUCA
Molecule: transfer RNA, 74 nt
Filed under: Prevotellaceae bacterium
Lineage: Bacteria; Pseudomonadati; Bacteroidota; Bacteroidia; Bacteroidales; Prevotellaceae
Description: tRNA-Arg
Rfam family: tRNA
About the family: Transfer RNA (tRNA) molecules are approximately 80 nucleotides in length.
Source: RNAcentral